CCCACGCGUGGACACGCUUGACAAAAAAAAACCACCCCCGAGUCAAUCGACCACGCCUCGCACCCCCAUCUGGAUCCGCCGCCUCCCCACCGCCGGCCCGCAUCGUCCGUCGCGCCCUCCUCCCCGUGUCUCCGAGUCCUCCGCGUGCAGCUUGCCGACGCCGAGGCCCAGGCCGCCGCGCUCCGGGAUCGCGCCGGCCGUCUCGAGCGCGUGCCGCCGACUGCGACGGGCUGCUCGGCACACUCCGCGCCGCCACGGCAACAGGUGGUAGGACGAGGAGAGGGUGGUGGAGACAGCGGAGGAGCUGGUAGGAGGAGGAGGAGAGGAAGGUGGAGGCGGCAGAGGAGCCAGUAGGAGUACGAGAGGGAGGUGGAGGCGGCGGAGGAGGGGACGGGGAUGACGGGGACAUAUCGGACUACACACCGGAGGACGAGGGCUUCACACCGCCUACCGAUUCCUUCUUCCUCGCAUCCUGGUUACAUGGUCGUUGCUGCAGUCGCCCAACAUCGACCACCUUGCCCCGAUUAGCUCUUGGAUACGCGGACGACCGGAUGUGCUCCAGCGCGGCCGCCUAUGGGCUUCUCCCACGAUGAAUCGACAACUAAGCUCGGGGACGUGAUAUGGUGCUCCGUGUAGGUGGCCAUGGUGGACCUGAAGCUGGCUUAGAUAAGCGAUGGGAUCGAGCGGCGGCGCUCCCGAUCUGAUCGGGAGCAGGACGACGGCGGCGAGCACAUGGCCGACGAGAGGAGCAGGAGGGGAGGCGCGGAGGCGGGGCCAUAUGCGUCGGACGCGCGCGUUCGUCCGCAGUCAACGCGGACACAGCGGCCGUCCAUGGCGGCUCGGGUCGAUGUAGGAGGACGAGGGGAGGAGCUCGCAAGGCCCGGCACCGGUAAUGGAGCGGAGGCGGCUGGAUCUGGCGAUUCUGGAGGGGCUGGCGACGAGCGGCUCCAUGGGCGGCGACCUGCGGGGUUCAAGCGGCGGCUGAAGGUUUGUCAGAUAUACUUCCAUUUUAUGCAUGGGUUGAUCCCUCCCCUGGAUACUGUCAAGGUUUGCAUUUCAAUGGAGCAUUGCAUCAUUUUGCUUUAAUUAUUUAAACUGCCUAAAUGGUACAAGUUGAGUGUAGGUAUGAGCGAUCUGGUUUCCCCUUUUGUUGUUCUAUACGAGGAUGAUCCAGAUGCCUUUUGGUGUUUUGAGAUGCUACUGAGAAGGAUGGUAAUUUGUAUCUAUGUCAAACCAUACUGGCAUAUGUUAGGUUGGUAUUUUUGCAUGACUUAAUGCAUGAUAUAAAUUCUGUUGCAUCUCAGCGUGAAAAUUUCCAUCUCGAGGGACCGACAGGAGUUAUGAAGCGGUUGGAAGCAUUGUGGAAGAUCAUGAAAUUGACAGAUACGGAACUAAUAAACUGUUAAGGAUCAAACAGGCAAAUGGAGUCCUAAUUUUCUAUUGGAAGUUCACAUGACAUGGUUCUAUGUUUGAGGCUUCAACAGACUGCGUAUGCCUCAAGAUUUGAGGUGUGAGUGUGCGACUUGAUUUUCUGUGUUGUUACAGUUAAUCGGUAAUGGAUAAAUCAAAUUUUGUUAUGUAGAUUGGUAAAACUAAUUAAGUUAAUUUUUUCUUAUUUAUGGGUUAUAAUUUAUUACUCCAAAAGCAGAUUUGUGUAUGUUAAAUAGAUUUUCAUAGGGAUAUAAGACUAGAAGUGUGGAUGUUUGUCAAUUUUCAGAGGGAAAUAAGCAACAGAAUAGACAUAAAAACAUGGCUGCUUUGGGAAAUUUUGGAUGUUACCCAUGCUCAUGCAUGAUGGUAGUUGUUGCGAAGAUCAUCUUAUCUAUCCAUCAUGAAUCAUCCCAGCACAACAAAUUGUCUAUUUAGUUCAUCACAAACACCAGUAUCACGGGGAUAAUGGAGGUAAAUCAAAGCUCAAUGCUGAACCCUUGGUACAUCCUCCAUGUUAUGUUAGGACAAGAAAACAACCCAAGGGGCACCAAACCAUUUCUGCUCCGCUAGCUUCAGAUUUUUUGUUUUUGCAUAAUUAAGAUGACAAGUUUGCAGACAUACGAUACUAGCUAGCUAAUUUUAAUCCCAUUACAAUGUUAUAGAUAGCUUCAUUACAAAAUAUAUGGUCUGAUUUUAUAUUAUAGAGUGUGUGUAUGAGAACUGAUUUAGAGUAUGUUGGUCAUUUGCGUUCUCAAGCUUUUUGUUGUAUGAUUUCUAUGGGAGAGAAUGAUACACGAGCCAGUAAUAAUAAUAAUACAACUAAAGUUUGUGAACAUAUCAUUACAAAAUGGUUGGCUAGAUAAUGUACACAUUCUACUAUAUAUGAUCAUUUUCUUUGUAGCUAUACACUUAUUUAGAAUACUGUACAAUUUUAUCUAUAGAUCAUUUUGUUAGGAAUGAUAGUAAAACAAGGAAUGUUUUUCUACUUGUUGAUCUUAUAUCCCCUAUCCACCCCGUUUCACUCAUGUUCCCACUUUCAAAGAACGGACGUGGAGCUGUGGGGUCUUGAACAUGUUUUGAUGUUUAUUGGAGGCAUUUGGAUUUUUUUUCUCCCGUUGCAACGCACGGACAAUGUGUGCUAGUAUAUAUAUAGAGAGAGUAGCACUAUUCUGAUCCUGGGAUCAGAAUAACUAUUUGGAUCACAAUCGACUCUAUAUAGGGCGCGUUGGAGACGUUCCCGAACUCCCGAACCCGCCGAGAAGGAAAAAGAAAAAAGGCCGAUCCCCACUCGUUCUUCAUCUCCGCCGAUCCCCAACCUCCUCCCGAUCCCCCCCGCAGUCACCGACGGGGCGCCGGCCCGGCUUCGGGCCACCUGCGCCGCACCAUCCCACCACCUCCACCAGCGUGCCGCCGUCCCGACUCCCAACCACCUCUACCCCGACUCCAGUACCACCCCGCUGCCGACCCCGAUUCCUCCCGGCGCCGCCGCCCACUUCUCCUUCCGGUGAGCCGCCACCUGCUCUCCUCCUUCCGGCGAGCCGUUGCCCCCGCCUCCACCCGGCGCGAGGCCGCCCCGCCUCCUUCCGGCACCACCGUUCUACCUUCUACGGCCGUCGUGCCUCCCUAGGACCUCCACCUACCACCACCGCAAGUCCCCAUCGCCUCCGCCCGGCGCCGCCGCCACUGAUCCCGGUCACCUCCGUUCGUCGUCACCACGUCUCCCCAACACCACCACCCGAGCAACCGCUGCGGUCCUGGAUCCUGUGUGUCGUCGCGAGCCGUGGAUCCCGUGCGCCGCCUCCGAGCCGUGGAUCCCGCUCAGUUCAACUUCACCGAAGCCACAAGUCCGAUUGGUAGUGCGUGGGAGGUGGUGCUGCUCCGGCUAGGUACUCCGUCCACGAGCAUGGCGCGUCGAUGGCUGCCUCCUCCUGUUCCCUCCAACCCCGAGCGCGGCGUAUCCACGCUCCACUCGCCGGCGACCACCAGCCCAUGUGCAGAUUGGGCACUACCUGCAGGUGGAGGAGAUGUCGACCUGCAGCAACAAGGGAUCUCGACCUGCAGCUAGCCAAGCGCCGCCACAACAAUCCACACAACCUACAGUCGGCACUGCACACCUGGGCCGUUCAACUUGGCCAUAUAUCAGGUCGUUCAACUCCACCCCUGCUCCUCAUGGAUGACCUUCAGUCAACGGUGGCUUCUCCUCGGUCCAUGAACGAGGUUGCUCAGUGGCACGCACGAGCCGGGGAGGCUGCAGUUCGGCGGCGUGUACCCAUAGUUCGUCUUUGUCCCGUGGCAUCAUCCUGCUGGUUGGUGACCAACGGAGCUGGCCUGAGGCAUGGUCUUGCUCGCUGACACUGGGCACGACUCGGUUGGAAGGAAGAAGGAGCUCCAUCCAUCCUAUGAAGUUCGCCCGGUGAGCCUGUGCAGUCCAACGGCGCAUGUGUGCUUGUGUCCGGUUCACAGCCGUAGCAUGUGUGGUGCUCGCGUGCACACGACAGCCACAUGAUGAGUUAACAGAAGCCAAGCUAGAAGCAGAAUGCAAUACCUUCAUACGAGUGUGCACGCAAGACAGACAUAGAGAAGUUCAGGCAAUGCAAUGGUGCAGCCACGGCAGCAUCGAUGACAAUGGUGUGGCGUUCCUGGUGCUCUCUCCCUCUACUGACUUGCUUGUUAUGAUGCCACCGCUUCUGCAUGCUUGUACUAAGACGACUACCCAUCUGUCUUCACAAGUGAUUCUUGUUUGUCAAUUUGGAGGAACGUGCAACUUUGAAAAUCUAA
This is a long non-coding RNA of Triticum aestivum (bread wheat), 4209 nucleotides long. RefSeq lists it as uncharacterized. The transcript has 3 exons. The record is from RefSeq and is a predicted model, not a curated record. NCBI's taxonomy places the organism in Eukaryota, Viridiplantae, Streptophyta, Magnoliopsida, Poales, Poaceae.